Molecule: ribosomal RNA, 1502 nt
Filed under: uncultured bacterium
Lineage: Bacteria
Description: partial 16S ribosomal RNA
Rfam family: Bacterial small subunit ribosomal RNA
Source: RNAcentral
AGAGUUUGAUCCUGGCUCAGGAUGAACGCUAGCGGUGGUCACGGGACAUGCAAGUCGGACGGGAUCCAUCGGAGAGCUCUGCUCGAGGAUGGUGAGAGUGGCGCACGGGUGCGUAACGCGUGAGCAACCUACCUCUAUCAGGGGGAUAGCCUCUCGAAAGAGAGAUUAACACCGCAUAAUAUAUCUGACCGGCAUCGGUUAGUUAUUAAAUAUUUAUAGGAUAGAGAUGGGCUCGCGUGACAUUAGCUAGUUGGUAGGGUAACGGCUUACCAAGGCGACGAUGUCUAGGGGCUCUGAGAGGAGAAUCCCCCACACUGGUACUGAGACACGGACCAGACUCCUACGGGAGGCAGCAGUAAGGAAUAUUGGUCAAUGGGCGGAAGCCUGAACCAGCCAUGCCGCGUGCAGGAUGACUGCCCUAUGGGUUGUAAACUGCUUUUGUCCAGGAAUAAACCUUUCUACGUGUAGGAAGCUGAAUGUACUGGAAGAAUAAGGAUCGGCUAACUCCGUGCCAGCAGCCGCGGUAAUACGGAGGAUCCGAGCGUUAUCCGGAUUUAUUGGGUUUAAAGGGUGCGUAGGCGGCCUAUUAAGUCAGGGGUGAAAUACGGUGGCUCAACCAUCGCAGUGCCUUUGAUACUGAUGGGCUUGAAUCCAUUUGAAGUGGGCGGAAUAAGACAAGUAGCGGUGAAAUGCAUAGAUAUGUCUUAGAACUCCGAUUGCGAAGGCAGCUCACUAAGCUGGUAUUGACGCUGAUGCACGAAGCGUGUGGAUCGAACAGAUUAGAUACACUGGUAGUCCACGCCCUAAACGAUGAUAACUCGAUGUUGGCGAUAGACAGCCAGCGUCCAAGCGAAAGCGUUAAGUUAUCCACCUGGGGAGUACGCCCGCAAGGGUGAAACUCAAAGGAAUUGACGGGGGCCCGCACAAGCGGUGGAGCAUGUGGUUUAAUUCGAUGCAACGCGAAGAACCUUACCUGGUCUUGACAUAGUAAGAACUUUCCAGAGAUGGAUUGGUGCCUUCGGGAACUUACAUACAGGUGCUGCAUGGCUGUCGUCAGCUCGUGUCGUGAGAUGUUGGGUUAAGUCCCGCAACGAGCGCAACCCUUUUCCUUAUUUGCCAGCGGGUUAAGCCGGGAACUUUAAGGAUACUGCCAGUGACAAACUGGAGGAAGGCGGGGACGACGUCAAGUCAUCAUGGCCCUUACGACCAGGGCUACACACGUGCUACAAUGGUCGGUACAAAGGGUUGCUACCUAGCGAUAGGAUGCUAAUCUCAAAAAGCCGAUCGUAGUCCGGAUUGGAGUCUGCAACUCGACUCCAUGAAGUCGGAAUCGCUAGUAAUCGCGGAUCAGAAUGCCGCGGUGAAUACGUUCCCGGGCCUUGUACACACCGCCCGUCACACCAUGGGAAUGUUUUGCACCAGAAGUAGGUAGUCUAACCGCAAGGCUGGCCGGUCCACGUUGUGGCCGAUGACUGGGGUGAAGUCGUAACAAGGUAUCCGUA